Long non-coding RNA from Mesocricetus auratus (golden hamster), 864 nucleotides. RefSeq lists it as uncharacterized. The transcript has 2 exons. Lineage: Eukaryota; Metazoa; Chordata; Mammalia; Rodentia; Cricetidae. The record is from RefSeq and is a predicted model, not a curated record.
CAGGAUGUCAGCUUCUGAAGUGGUAGAGGCCCCCUCUGGAAGGGCAGUAGGAAACGUGUCUGGAGACAAAGGGCGCCUCAAGACCAGUGUUUCCACCUCUGCUGGAAGAUGGGACAUCAGGAGACCUUUUGACAGGGCCCUCAUCUCGAUCCCACCACCAGUCACCAUGGAGGAAAGUCCCUGCCCCUCUGAGCCAUAGUGCAUCUGUAUGACAAAUGAAGUGUGGACUUCAGGCUUUCCAGAUCCACGGAGGAGCUCCAGAUUCCUGUCAUAGGUGGCUGAGGCAUCUGUCUCUCAUCUCUGCAAACUGGAAACAUUAUCAUGAGGACUGGACUGUAGCUCACUUGUGGAGUGACUGACUAGGACACACAUGGUCUUGGGUUCUAACCCAAGCAGAAAGAUGAUUAUGAUAUGUGAAGGAAGCUGGGGUUGUGUCAACUCAGUAUGUGCCCAUGGGGUAUACUGAUUCUUUCAAAAAGAAGAAACUAUAGUGCCAGAAGGAUCAUUUGUCCAGUUUCCUACUGCAAGUAGCUGGCCAUAAUGGAGUCUUUGGGAGAUGUACUGCCAUCCCCAUUUCCCAAGGCAAGAGAACAGACCUUAUCACUGACGCUGGGAAUUGGUGCUGCAAUGGACCUUAACAAAUUCACUGGAGUAACUUUAAUCUUCUGGUUAGUUUACAUGCCCCACCCUGACCAUGCCCCAGAAUGUAUUGCUCCUAGACUAAAGGUUUCUGCACAGAUGUGUAAUUCUUUGUCCAAAAGCCCGAAAGCAUCCUGCCCUCAUGCUUCUUCACAUCUUCGCAGUCUCAUGAGCAUCCCUGGGCACACGUAAAGUUAAAUAAAGUCUUGUGCUUUGCUCUGGUUA